This 311-nucleotide ribosomal RNA is filed under the name uncultured bacterium. RNAcentral describes it as "bacterial SSU rRNA". It matches the Rfam family "Bacterial small subunit ribosomal RNA", at positions 197 to 507 of the family's 1533-position model. The record is from RNAcentral.
AGAGUUAAAGCCCUUCGGGGCGCUUGAGGAUGAGCUUGCGUCCUAUUAGCUAGUUGGUAGGGUAAUGGCCUACCAAGGUAAUGAUGGGUAGCCGGCCUGAGAGGGUGUCCGGCCACACUGGAACUGGGACACGGUCCAGACUCCUACGGGAGGCAGCAGGGAGGAAUUUUGCGCAAUGGGCGAAAGCCUGACGCAGCGACGCCGCGUGGAGGAUGACGGCCUUCGGGUUGUAAACUCCUGUCAGAGGUGAAGAAAACCCCCUUCGGGGGGGCUUGACGGUAACCUCAGAGGAAGCCCCGGCUAACUACGUG